CUGCAGCCACCCCGUGGCCACCGUGGAAAACGGCAGGAACGGAAGCUGUCCCAGCGGGAGAGGGAGCCCAGCCGAGGAAGCCCAGAAUGGCCAAUGUGCUGCUGUGGCAGAAGUGAUCGAAGAGAUUAAAGAUGAGAGGAGGAGCGCCUGUGUGACACUAGCUGUAGAGGACUCACCUGCCUAGAAACCAAACUGGACAGCAGAAUCCUGGAUCUCCCCUAACGGUAGUGUUGGAGUGCUUGACUCCUUUCUCUGAGCGUGUGUACACCUGAGCACCACUAAGCCACGGGUUGUCCAGAAAGGAGCUCUGCCUGAGCCCAAGUUUUGCCACCAGGGAUGUUGAAGAUUUCCACGGGUCUACCUGCUUGUUCCUGCAUUGUUCGCUCUCCUCUCGUUGUGGGAUGCAGCCCUGGCCUUGACUGAAUGUGUUGCCACCUGGCCCCCACCCCCGCCAAACUCCUGUGUUGACAUCCUGAUUGCUGUGAGGGCGCAAGAAGAUGGCCUCUCACCAGGAGCCGCACCAGCCAGCACUUGGUCUUGGACUCCUCCAGAAUCAGGACAAAAACUUUCCCUUGUUCUAGCCACCAAGGCUACGGUACUUUCUUUAGAACAGCCCAAACGAGCACACGUCUCAUUGUAAGUAAUGUGAAGUGACCAGGUACACGGAGUGUCCAUAAACAGCAAGUUUUCAAGCCUUGUUUCUGACUUCAGAUAAUAAGCUUUUU
Molecule: long non-coding RNA, 725 nt
Organism: Zalophus californianus (California sea lion)
Lineage: Eukaryota; Metazoa; Chordata; Mammalia; Carnivora; Otariidae
Exons: 4
Source: RefSeq, a predicted model, not a curated record